ACCUGGUAGUCAGGUCAUUUCAGCAGAGGAUUCAUACUGCGGCACAUAAGUUCUCCCUUUUCUUGCCACAUGUACUUUUUGUAUUGGCUUAUAGUGAGGGAGGACUGCGUUGGAGAAGGACUGUGUGAGGGGAAGGGUUGGGGCAGAGGCACGCUGAUGGAAGAGCUGGGGGAGAGGCACAGCAGAUGGAAGGGCUGGGGGAGGGAAAGGCUGUGUAAGAGGAUCAUUCAGGGGAAGGAAAGGCUUUGUGAGAGGAACACUGAGGAGAGGGAAAGGCUGUGUCAAAGGGAACGCUGAGGAGAGGGAAAGGCUGUGUGAAAGGGAACGCUAAAGAGAAGGCUCCUGAGAGAUAUACUGAGGGAAAUGCUGUGUGAGAUUAACGCUGAGGGGAGGGAAAGGCUGGGUGAGAGGAACGCUGAAGAGAAGGCUGGAUGAGCGAUACAGCAUGCUGAGAGAAAGGCUGUGUGGAGGGAACAGUGCAGGGGAAGGCUGAUUAAGGGGAACCCUGCAUGGAAAGGCUAUGUAUGGCCCAGACUGGCAAUCUGUGGAUUCUGGCAAAUGCCAGAGGGGCUGCUAUUAUUUAACCAAAGAAGCUUAUUAUGAUGAGUGAAAAUCUAUCUGAAUCACAAAGAACAAACGUGGGCAAGUUGAUCCAACAUGUUUUGGCAACGAGCCUGUACGAGACACACCAAGUGAACUUCACGAUCAAAGAACAGAGAAUCGCAUUGGGACAACUAUGUGCGAUUGCAUGGUCAUGAAAACAGAGGAGGAAUCUCAUUGUUGCAUGGAACUAUCAAAUAUGAACAAGAAAUACCUACAAGAUGGCUGCAUCUGCCAUAGCAAAAAAUUUACUGAAAAUGUAUACAAAAAAACUCCACUAUGAAUAUUUAAAGUUCUUUUGGAACAUGCAAUGCCCCACAGAAUUAGCAGCCAUAACAGGUAUUAUAGUAUAGCUGAACUGUUGAAGGUAAUUAAAUGAAGGUUAACUAUAGUUUGAAGAUAAUGGGAAUUCUGAAUUUCUGUGUUUUUUUGUCAAUAAAAACAUCUGUUCUAGGCAAAAGGGGUUACUGUUUUUUAUGCGCAGGGAAGGGUGCAAGUUUAUGUGCAAAUAAUGGCACAGUUAGCCAUGUUUUUUUCUACUUUGUCUCCAUCAAUGCUCAAAAUUGCUCCAAAAAAUAAAACGUACAGAAACCCUGUCUGCCUGUGUUCUGUAGCUCUAUAUAAUGUCAAAUGACAUUGUGUUUUGAUUUUACCCACUUAGGUGUGAUGACUAGCGCAGAACACAUAUAUUUUUUUCUUUCUUCCACAGAAAACUAAGACAAACCACAUAUCGGUCAUUCAUCACCUGGGUUUGUGGCUACUUAGGACACAACAAUAGGAAGCCUAUUCCAGCCUGUGUUGUCCAAAAAGUGCUCAGCUGUUACCCAGACUCUAAAGAACGUUACUGGGAGGUUUUAUGGACAUUUGAUUUUAAUGCUUUUGGAGUGAUGCAUCUUGUGAUUGUUUAUUUUUCAUAUUGUAUUUU
Long non-coding RNA from Xenopus laevis (African clawed frog), 1525 nucleotides. RefSeq lists it as uncharacterized. The record is from RefSeq and is a predicted model, not a curated record. The transcript has 3 exons. NCBI's taxonomy places the organism in Eukaryota, Metazoa, Chordata, Amphibia, Anura, Pipidae.